RNAcentral lists this ribosomal RNA (184 nucleotides) under Escherichia coli. RNAcentral's name for it is "partial 16S ribosomal RNA". It matches the Rfam family "Bacterial small subunit ribosomal RNA", at positions 1 to 176 of the family's 1533-position model. The record is from RNAcentral. RNAcentral also lists the same sequence under 7 other names. Lineage: Bacteria; Pseudomonadati; Pseudomonadota; Gammaproteobacteria; Enterobacterales; Enterobacteriaceae.
UUAAAUUGAAGAGUUUGAUCAUGGCUCAGAUUGAACGCUGGCGGCAGGCCUAACACAUGCAAGUCGAACGGUAACAGGAAGCAGCUUGCUGCUUCGCUGACGAGUGGCGGACGGGUGAGUAAUGUCUGGGAAACUGCCUGAUGGAGGGGGAUAACUACUGGAAACGGUAGCUAAUACCGCAUAA